This 519-nucleotide ribosomal RNA is filed under the name uncultured bacterium. Its description in RNAcentral is "partial 16S ribosomal RNA". It matches the Rfam family "Bacterial small subunit ribosomal RNA", at positions 28 to 507 of the family's 1533-position model. The record is from RNAcentral.
GACGAACGCUGGCGGCGUGCCUAAUACAUGCAAGUCGAGCGAGUCUGCCUUGAAGAUCGGAGUGCUUGCACUCUGUGAAACAAGAUACAGGCUAGCGGCGGACGGGUGAGUAACACGUGGGUAACCUGCCCAAGAGAUCGGGAUAACACCUGGAAACAGAUGCUAAUACCGGAUAACAACAGAUGAUGCCUAUCAACUGUUUAAAAGAUGGUUCUGCUAUCACUCUUGGAUGGACCUGCGGUGCAUUAGCUAGUUGGUAGGGUAACGGCCUACCAAGGCGAUGAUGCAUAGCCGAGUGGAGAGACUGAUCGGCCACAUUGGGACUGAGACACGGCCCAAACUCCUACGGGAGGCAGCAGUAGGGAAUCUUCCACAAUGGACGCAAGUCUGAUGGAGCAACGCCGCGUGAGUGAAGAAGGGUUUCGGCUCGUAAAGCUCUGUUGUUGGUGAAGAAGGACAGGGGUAGUAACUGACCUUUGUUUGACGGUAAUCAAUUAGAAAGUCACGGCUAACUAAGUG